Molecule: ribosomal RNA, 767 nt
Filed under: bacterium enrichment culture clone 119
Lineage: Bacteria
Description: bacterial SSU rRNA
Rfam family: Bacterial small subunit ribosomal RNA
Source: RNAcentral
AGAGUUUGAUCCUGGCUCAGAUUGAACGCUGGCGGCAGGCCUAACACAUGCAAGUCGAGCGGAUGAAGAGAGCUUGCUCUUUGAUUCAGCGGCGGACGGGUGAGUAAUGCCUAGGAAUCUGCCUGAUAGUGGGGGACAACGUUUCGAAAGGAACGCUAAUACCGCAUACGUCCUACGGGAGAAAGCAGGGGACCUUCGGGCCUUGCGCUAUCAGAUGAGCCUAGGUCGGAUUAGCUAGUUGGUGAGGUAAUGGCUCACCAAGGCGACGAUCCGUAACUGGUCUGAGAGGAUGAUCAGUCACACUGGAACUGAGACACGGUCCAGACUCCUACGGGAGGCAGCAGUGGGGAAUAUUGGACAAUGGGCGAAAGCCUGAUCCAGCCAUGCCGCGUGUGUGAAGAAGGUCUUCGGAUUGUAAAGCACUUUAAGUUGGGAGGAAGGGCAUUAACCUAAUACGUUAGUGUUUUGACGUUACCGACAGAAUAAGCACCGGCUAACUUCGUGCCAGCAGCCGCGGUAAUACGAAGGGUGCAAGCGUUAAUCGGAAUUACUGGGCGUAAAGCGCGCGUAGGUGGUUUGUUAAGUUGAAUGUGAAAGCCCCGGGCUCAACCUGGGAACUGCAUCCAAAACUGGCAAGCUAGAGUAUGGCAGAGGGUGGUGGAAUUUCCUGUGUAGCGGUGAAAUGCGUAGAUAUAGGAAGGAACACCAGUGGCGAAGGCGACCACCUGGGCUAAUACUGACACUGAGGUGCGAAAGCGUGGGGAGCA